RNAcentral lists this ribosomal RNA (278 nucleotides) under uncultured bacterium. RNAcentral describes it as "partial 16S ribosomal RNA". It matches the Rfam family "Bacterial small subunit ribosomal RNA", at positions 29 to 334 of the family's 1533-position model. The record is from RNAcentral.
AACGAACGCUGGCGGCAUGCCUAACACAUGCAGGUCGAACGAGACCUUCGGGUCUAGUGGCGCACGGGUGCGUAACGCGUGGGAAUCUGCCCUUGGGUUCGGGAUAACUCGCCGAAAGGCGUGCUAAUACCGGAUGAUGUCGUAAGACCAAAGAUUUAUCGCCCAGGGAUGAGCCCGCGUAAGAUUAGGUAGUUGGUGAGGUAAAGGCUCACCAAGCCGAUGAUCUUUAGCUGGUCUGAGAGGAUGAUCAGCCACACUGGGACUGGGACACGGCCCAG